This 464-nucleotide ribosomal RNA is filed under the name uncultured bacterium. Its description in RNAcentral is "bacterial SSU rRNA". It matches the Rfam family "Bacterial small subunit ribosomal RNA", at positions 355 to 835 of the family's 1533-position model. The record is from RNAcentral.
UGGGGAAUAUUGGGACAAUGGGCGCAAGCCUGAUCCAGCCAUGCCGCGUGAGUGAUGAAGGCCUUAGGGUUGUAAAGCUCUUUCAGUGGUGAAGAUGAUGACGGUAACCACAGAAGAAGCCCCGGCUAACUCCGUGCCAGCAGCCGCGGUAAGACGGAGGGGGCUAGCGUUGUUCGGAAUUACUGGGCGUAAAGGGCGUGUAGGCGGAUCGGUCAGUCAGUGGUGAAAGCCCGGGCUCAACCUGGGAAUUGCCUCUGAUACUGCCGAUCUAGAGUCCGGGAGAGGGUAGUGGAAUUCCCAGUGUAGAGGUGAAAUUCGUAGAUAUUGGGAAGAACACCAGUGGCGAAGGCGGCUACCUGGACCGGUACUGACGCUGAGGCGCGAAAGCGUGGGGAAGCAAACAGGAUUAGAUACCCUGGUAGUCCACGCCGUAAACGAUGUCUGCUAGACGUCGGGGGGUCGCA